GGAGACAGAAUCUGUAGCUGGGAUUUUAGGCAUCUGUCUCCACACCCAGCUAAUUUUUGUAUUUUUAGUAGAGACAGGGUUUCACCAUGUUGGCCAGGAUGGUCUCAAACUCCUGGCCUCAAGUGAUCUGCCCACCUCGGCCUCCCAAAGUGCUAGGAUAACAGGUGUGAGCCACCACACCCAGCCAAAAGAGUUUUUUUUUUUUUAAAUUAUUGUUAUUAUUAUUGUGCUCCUUAAAACAACAAAGGCCAGGUGACAGAUGCUAAGAGCCCAGUCUAGACUGGUGCAGUCAGGCCGGGAGGAGUGAGCAGCCACUUGUGGGCCUCGGUCAGGCUGUCCUGACAGAGAGGACAGAGUAGGUGGCUAUCCAUGCUGCAGGUUCCGCCACCCUACAGCAUCUCCUCCCUGCCUGGGAAUCCCAUGUUUAGUUGCUCCUGUAGGUUGGACAGCCAUGAUUGGGGCAGCUGCCACCCAGAGAUUGUGGGGACAGUUCUGGGCUUGCCUAAGGGCUCUGGAGUCUGGAAUCUGGACCACAUAGUACAGCAAGAGAAACAGCACACAGCUCAUCCUUGAGCGUAUCUAAUAUAUCAAAAUGAUUCCAGAAUUAAUGAGACCUCCUGGGUACCUAGUACCUAAAGGCUUAACUGGGAUAGCACUCCACCCCACCCCCCAUCCCACCUGCCCCACCUCUCGCAAGACAUAUUCAGUCCUCCAUAGAGACACCUCCCUUAAUGCUAAGGAGUUCACUCAGCUCAGACUUCUGGAGUGGGGAAACGGAGGCUUUCUCCAUCCAGACUCAUCAUCCUGGAAUUCUUUAUUUCUCUCUCCUGAUUGCGGUUUUUUUUUCUAUAUUCCCUAUUUUUUCACUUUUUCUUUUUCACAGUCUUUUUUUUCUUGAAAUAUUUCUCCUUUUCUUUCUUUGUCUUCUCCUUAGUAAAUCAAAUUGCCUAAUUGUCAACCUGGCAGGUGGGGACUGGAACCCAGGGAGGAUGUGGCACCGGACAGAGGCUUCCAAUGGAGGCAACAGCUUGGUCCACCCACAUGGCGGCAGAUCCACGCAUCUCCCUGGACCUUCCGUGUCUGAGCGUCCAUCUGGGAGCCUCCACCAAGGGGCAUGAGAGAACAGAAGCGGAGGAAGACCCUGAGAGUUGGCUUCCUAAGAGAGAAAAGGGAGCUUAUUUCCCAGAGUGGUGUUCCAGGAUUGCUGCAGGACAUGUGACAAUGGAAUUACUUCUAUGAGAGCCCGAUUUUGGGGCUCAAAGUUGUCCUCAAGCCCAGAGAUGGAUGCAGGGACUCUCCAAGGUAGAAGGGCCUUCUGGCUACCAGCCACCCAUGCAAAGUGAAACUCCAGGCACGAAAAAGACAUGGGGAGUCUUGGCAAAUACUGAAGCCACUGCUGGAAAAGAAGGAAGGCCCCAUGUGAGCCUGCCCUCACCAUUCCAUGGAGACAGAUGAGCCCGUGGGAAGCUGAAUGUGCUAGGGGAGAUCUUUGUGCCCUGCUAACCAGUGGCCUGCCAGAAGCCCAAAAAGUGCCAGGAGGGAGCAGCGACAGGAAAGCAGAGAAUUCUGGAAAAUAAGGUUUCCCAGCAUCAUCUGCCUGGGUGAAUGUCGUUGGCAGGUAGACAUCUGUCUCAAUUUCUAAAGAAUGAUCUGAUUUUCUAAAAAAGGAGAAAGAAGGGAAGGAGGGAAGAAGGAAGGAAGGGAAAAAAAGGGAAAAGUAAAGAAAAAAUAAAA
This 1734-nucleotide long non-coding RNA is filed under the name Homo sapiens (human). Its description in RNAcentral is "HSALNT0376365". Lineage: Eukaryota; Metazoa; Chordata; Mammalia; Primates; Hominidae. The record is from RNAcentral.